Molecule: ribosomal RNA, 562 nt
Filed under: Phaeodothis sp.
Lineage: Eukaryota; Fungi; Ascomycota; Dothideomycetes; Pleosporales; Didymosphaeriaceae
Description: LSU rRNA
Rfam family: Eukaryotic large subunit ribosomal RNA
Source: RNAcentral
GCGAUAGCCCCAGUAACGGCGAGUGAAGCGGCUACAGCUCAAAUUUGAAAUCUGGCCCUCUUUGGGGGUCCGAGUUGUAAUUUGCAGAGGAUGCUUUGGCGUUGGCGGCGUUCUAAGUUCCCUGGAACAGGACAUCGCAGAGGGUGAGAAUCCCGUAUGUGGGCGCCUGCCUUCGCCGUGUAAAGCUCCUUCGACGAGUCGAGUUGUUUGGGAAUGCAGCUCUAAAUGGGAGGUAAAUUUCUCCUAAAGCUAAAUACCGGCCAGAGACCGAUAGCGCACAAGUAGAGUGAUCGAAAGAUGAAAAGUACUUUGGAAAGAGAGUCAAACAGCACGUGAAAUUGUUGAAAGGGAAGCGCUUGCAGCCAGACUUGCCCGCAGUUGCUCACCCAGGCUCUUGCCUGGGGCACUCUUCUGCGGGCAGGCCAGCAUCAGUUUGGGCGGUCGGAGAAAGGCCUCUGUCAUGUACCACCCCUCGGGGUGGCCUUAUAGGGGAGGCGUAAUGCGACCAGCCCGGACUGAGGUCCGCGCAUCUGCUAGGAUGCUGGCGUAAUGGCUGUAAGCG